CCUACGGGGUGCAGCAGUGAGGAAUAUUGGUCGAUGGGCGAGAGCCUGAACCAGCCAAGUCGCGUGAGGGAGUACUGCCCUAUGGGUUGUAAACCUCUUUUGUCGGGGAGCAAAAGCCGGACGUGUCCGGCUGUGAGAGUACCCGAAGAAAAAGCAUCGGCUAACUCCGUGCCAGCAGCCGCGGUAAUACGGAGGAUGCGAGCGUUAUCCGGAUUUAUUGGGGUUAAAGGGUGCGCAGGCGGAAUGUCAAGUCAGCGGUAAAAUUUGGGGGCUCAACCCCGUCGUGCCGUUGAAACUGGCGUUCUUGAGUGAGCGAGAAGUAUGCGGAAUGCGUGGUGUAGCGGUGAAAUGCAUAGAUAUCACGCAGAACUCCGAUUGCGAAGGCAGCAUACCGGCGCUCAACUGACGCUCAUGCACGAAAGCGUGGGUAUCGAACAGGAUUAGAUACACCGGUAGUC
RNAcentral lists this ribosomal RNA (458 nucleotides) under uncultured bacterium. RNAcentral describes it as "partial 16S ribosomal RNA". It matches the Rfam family "Bacterial small subunit ribosomal RNA", at positions 338 to 795 of the family's 1533-position model. The record is from RNAcentral.